AAACCAACAGGGAUUGCCUCAGUAACGGCGAGUGAAGCGGCAAAAGCUCAAAUUUGAAAUCUAGCACCUUCGGUGUUCGAGUUGUAAUUUGAAGAUGGUAACCUUGGGUUUGGCUCUUGUCUAUGUUCCUUGGAACAGGACGUCAUAGAGGGUGAGAAUCCCGUCUGAUGAGAUGCCCAUUCCUUUGUAAGGUGCUAUCGAAGAGUCGAGUUGUUUGGGAAUGCAGCUCUAAGUGGGUGGUAAAUUCCAUCUAAAGCUAAAUAUUGGCGAGAGACCGAUAGCGAACAAGUACAGUGAUGGAAAGAUGAAAAGAACUUUGAAAAGAGAGUGAAAAAGUACGUGAAAUUGUUGAAAGGGAAGGGCAUUAGAUCAGACUUGGUGUUUUACGAUUAUCUUCUCUUCUUGAGUUGUGCACUCGUAUUUCACUGGGCCAGCAUCGAUUCGGAUGGCAAGAUAAUGACAGUUGAACGUGGCUUCAUUCGUGGAGUGUUAUAGCUUCUGUUGAUAUUGCCUGUCUGGAUCGAGGGCUGCGUCUUUUGACUAGGAUGCUGGCGUAAUGAUCUAAUGCCGC
RNAcentral lists this ribosomal RNA (571 nucleotides) under Hansenula lynferdii. Its description in RNAcentral is "eukaryotic LSU rRNA". It matches the Rfam family "Eukaryotic large subunit ribosomal RNA", at positions 62 to 648 of the family's 3401-position model. The record is from RNAcentral. Lineage: Eukaryota; Fungi; Ascomycota; Saccharomycetes; Phaffomycetales; Wickerhamomycetaceae.